This 497-nucleotide ribosomal RNA is filed under the name uncultured bacterium. RNAcentral's name for it is "partial 16S ribosomal RNA". It matches the Rfam family "Bacterial small subunit ribosomal RNA", at positions 28 to 507 of the family's 1533-position model. The record is from RNAcentral.
GAUGAACGCUGGCGGCGUGCCUAAUACAUGCAAGUCGAGCGAACGGACGAGAAGCUUGCUUCUCUGAUGUUAGCGGCGGACGGGUGAGUAACACGUGGAUAACCUACCUAUAAGACUGGGAUAACUUCGGGAAACCGGAGCUAAUACCGGAUGAUAUUUUGAACCGCAUGGUUCAAAAGUGAAAGACGGUCUUGCUGUCACUUAUAGAUGGAUCCGCGCUGCAUUAGCUAGUUGGUAAGGUAACGGCUUACCAAGGCAACGAUGCAUAGCCGACCUGAGAGGGUGAUCGGCCACACUGGAACUGAGACACGGUCCAGACUCCUACGGGAGGCAGCAGUAGGGAGUCUUCCGCAAUGGGCGAAAGCCUGACGGAGCAACGCCGCGUGAGUGAUGAAGGUCUUCGGAUCGUAAAACUCUGUUAUUAGGGAAGAACAUAUGUGUAGGUAACUGUGCACAUCUUGACGGUACCUAAUCAGAAAGCCACGGCUAACUACGUG